Numida meleagris (helmeted guineafowl) is the source of this 380-nucleotide long non-coding RNA. RefSeq lists it as uncharacterized. The transcript has 3 exons. The record is from RefSeq and is a predicted model, not a curated record. NCBI's taxonomy places the organism in Eukaryota, Metazoa, Chordata, Aves, Galliformes, Numididae.
ACGCUCUUCUGUGUGGUUCUACAAAUGCCGCCAGCAGCAUGAGGCCAUGAAGGAGGGCUUGGGGGGAUGGGCUGGGUGUUACUGCUAGGUCUGAGUGUUCACAGCACUAUAGCCUUGGAAUGUUUGUGUUGGUACAGCUCCGCAAACAGUUGUGCUUCUGCAAUCAAAACAACAAACAGAACGGAGACAGGAGAGGGUGAUGCCUGAGCCGAGAUGAACAACCAAGGAACAACUCCUAGAUGUUCUGUAUACUGGCAUGCAGAAGGAAAGAGAGACAGAUGGUGUGACAGUGGGAGAACAGUCUAUUUUAGCACUAAUAAAAAUGGGACUUGAGAUCCAUGUAUGGCAGAGAAAUUAGAAGCUUGGAGUGCUGGGGAAAA